CUACGGGUUGCUGCAGGCGAGAAAACUUUGCAAUGUGCGAAAGCACGACAAGGUUAAUCCGAGUGGUUUCUGCUAAAGGAACCUUUUGUCGGUCCUAGAAACACCGAUGAAUAAGGGGUGGGCAAGUUCUGGUGUCAGCCGCCGCGGUAAAACCAGCACCUCAAGUGGUCAGGAUGAUUAUUGGGCCUAAAGCAUCCGUAGCCUGCUUUGUUAGUUUUCGGUUAAAUCUGUACGCUCAACGUACAGGCUGCCGGGAAUACUGCAAAGCUAGGGAGUGGGAGAGGUAGACGGUACUCGGUAGGAAGGGGUAAAAUCCUUUGAUCUAUUGAUGACCACCUGUGGCGAAGGCGGUCUACCAGAACACGUCCGACGGUGAGGGAUGAAAGCUGGGGGAGCAAACCGGAUUAGAUACCCUCGUAGUC
This 422-nucleotide ribosomal RNA is filed under the name uncultured archaeon. Its description in RNAcentral is "partial 16S ribosomal RNA". It matches the Rfam family "Archaeal small subunit ribosomal RNA", at positions 323 to 746 of the family's 1478-position model. The record is from RNAcentral.